AAUGGGCGAAAGCCUGAUGCAGCGACGCCGCGUGAGUGAAGAAGGUCUUCGGAUCGUAAAACUCUGUCCUUGGGGAAGAUAAUGACGGUACCCAAGGAGGAAGCCCCGGCUAACUACGUGCCAGCAGCCGCGGUAAUACGUAGGGGGCGAGCGUUGUCCGGAUUUACUGGGCGUAAAGGGUGAGUAGGCGGUUAUUUAAGUCAGAUGUAAAAGGCUAUGGCUCAACUAUAGUAAGCAUUUGAAACUGGAUAACUUGAGUGCAGGAGAGGUAAGUGGAAUUCCUAGUGUAGCGGUGAAAUGCGUAGAUAUUAGGGGGAACACCAGUGGCGAAGGCGACUUACUGGACUGUAACUGACGCUGAGUCACGAAAGCGUGGGUAGCAAACAGGAUUAGAUACCCUGGUAGUCCACGCUGUAAACGAUGAGUGCUAGGUGUUGGCUAGCGAUAGUCAGUGCCGACGUAAACACAAUAAGCACUCCGCCUGGGGAGUACGGUCG
Molecule: ribosomal RNA, 497 nt
Filed under: uncultured bacterium
Lineage: Bacteria
Description: bacterial SSU rRNA
Rfam family: Bacterial small subunit ribosomal RNA
Source: RNAcentral